AGACCGCGGGAAGAAUGAGAAUGAAAACGUUAAAGCGUGGGAGAGAUCUGUGAAGGAGUGAGAAUGUUUUAUGUAAACGAAUGUGUGUACAUGGUGAAGGUCGCGGGAGGAGAGAUUUAACGAAGGCAUCAGUGAGUGAGGGAGAUCCACGAGAGCGAAGAAAUUUUAUGUGCAUGCGAGCGGUGUGUGAGGUCGGUGAGAGGGAGGAGAGUGAUUGUGUGAGUAUGAGAGUUAUGAUACUUGGAAUAAGACAUGAGAGGUAGAAGAAGAAGAAAAGCGGUGUGUGACGUCUGUGAGAGAGAUGAGAGUUCAGGGUUGUGCAUGGGGU
RNAcentral lists this long non-coding RNA (328 nucleotides) under Carica papaya (papaya). RNAcentral describes it as "long non-coding RNA (CPAP_LNC013963)". Lineage: Eukaryota; Viridiplantae; Streptophyta; Magnoliopsida; Brassicales; Caricaceae. The record is from RNAcentral.